AAAUAUCGACGUGUAUAAUUUCAAGAAGCUGGGUGCUUCUUGUGGCACCUUUCUUACUAUGCUUAGUUUGCUUUCCCUUAAUGCAAUCCAAACAUAUAGUAAGAUCAGUAAAAUUUAGAUUUGGAAGAAUCUCAUUCUUUACUAAUCUUUCUAACCGUUCUUUAGAUAUAUUACCCAAACAUAUACAUGUAAGCAGAAUUUUCAUCUAGUGAACUACGUUUAAUUCCAACAUUAUGUUGAAUAAUAAGAAGGGAUUCAAAAAAACUAAUAUCGAGUUUCAAUC
Molecule: long non-coding RNA, 283 nt
Filed under: Nicotiana benthamiana
Lineage: Eukaryota; Viridiplantae; Streptophyta; Magnoliopsida; Solanales; Solanaceae
Description: long non-coding RNA (NBEN_LNC024382)
Source: RNAcentral